Scylla paramamosain (green mud crab) is the source of this 3898-nucleotide long non-coding RNA. RefSeq lists it as uncharacterized. NCBI's taxonomy places the organism in Eukaryota, Metazoa, Arthropoda, Malacostraca, Decapoda, Portunidae. The transcript has 2 exons. The record is from RefSeq and is a predicted model, not a curated record.
AGUUAGGGUAUGUUUAGGUUAAUUCAUCAAUAACACUGCUGAUUCCUUUAUUGCGUUGGUCACGAUUAUUAAAAGACAUAUGCUGUGCCCAAAAAUAAAGUCUGUCUCGAAAUAAGUAGUCUAUAGCUAUUUCCAUAGUCCUCAGUAACUCCGUUUUUUUUUUUUUUUUUACUGUAAACCUCGCCAAUAAUUUCAGAUAAAAGGACUGCAUCCCCCUCAGGUCAAGGCUACUUGUGCGCCACGUGAGCCUAGUCACAACACCACGGCCUUUCCAUUAUGCUCCCAUCUCUGCUUGGUGUCUGUUCCUUCAUUGAUUCUUACCAGUAAAACUACUUAUAUAUUUAGAAAGAAAAUCUCGCCGAUAAUUUCAGAUAGGAGGAAUGCAUUGUUCCGAGAUUUAAGGUUGUUGUAUGCCAUGAGUAAAGCUUCCUCUUAACAACGCUCUCCGGGCUUCUAAUAAUAUCCGAUGCUUGCUGCCUGCUCCUGGAUUCACUUACCAGAAAGUUAUUCAUUUACAAUGAAAACCGCGUCCGUAAUUCUAAAGGAGAGGAUAGCUUCACUGUGAGAUUAACCUUUGUCAUUGUAAGAGCUAUGUUUCACUUGACAUUAGGCAGUAUCAUGAUAAUUUGCAAUAGUGAGGUGACUAUCAGAGGUAUAAGUGCCCCCACACAUGCGCUAGCCUCGUUCCGUGCCGCCUUGCCUAGCUAGCCAUUGGAAACUUGCUGACAAUAUUGAGAUUGACUUUAGAUGGGCAAAAUGAUGAAUUGCACAUGAUAUAUAAAUGUUUUUUUUCUUCUUUUUUUUUUAGAUGCAACAUUAUGUACGAGGCUAGUCAUUCCGGUGAGGCCUGGGGUGGAGGCUACCUUCGUUUAUUAUAAUAUAAACCUCGUGUUUCUUACUUUUACACUAUUCAAAAAGUUUUGUGGGGAGAAGUUAUCCUAAUUACGAAGUUAGUUGAUAAUUAAAACGAGCUAAUGGACUGAUAAUUAGUUCUUUAAUGAGGGUAGCAAGGCCCGCUGUAUUCUGUAACAUUAGAUUCUGUAUCACAAAGGCUAGCAUUAACAACAUAUUCACAUAAUGUAAAAUAAUCUAAGAUAUACCUACUCUAUAGCGGAACAUAGAACAUGGCCACGUGCGUAGGAUACGUGAUGGAGAACCAGUGGUAGGUGGAGGGAGGCGGAAAGCAGGUAGGCAGGAAGGGAGGGGGGGGAUAUGAGUGACGUGUGGAUAACAAGUAGUUAGCCGACCGAUUGUUCCAUGCCCGUGUUCGAAACUAUGACAAGGAAAGGAAUCGAACGCUGUAUAUCAUUUAUUUCCUAUCAUUAUCCUCAUCUUUUUCUUAGCGCAGAGAUGCAUGUCAAUCCCCUCAAAUUUACCUUGAUCUAAUGCCGUAGUGCAGAUAUGAUCGCGUGAGGUAGGAGUGAGUGAGCUAAAGGAGCAGCAACACAUUCGAAGAGAGCCCGAGGCAAAGUUACAUCAGGCACAGAAACAUUCAGUCUAUUUGUAUGCAAGCGGCGGGCGAGAGCGGUACUUUGUGCUUGCGUGCGUGGCGUCGCGGAUAGUGAAGUGAUAAGUGUGCGUUAAUUUAUUGUUCCUUUUCUGCGUUUUCUUCGCGGUGGGCUUGGUGAGUACCCGUAUCACAGGUCUCAUCGUGGGACAGGUCGCGCUGGAGCACCCCUUCGAGAAAAGUAAAGUGAAGAUACUGUUUCCUAGGUGUUAGGGCGAUAGGCUGGGCGGCUAAUCUUUAUUGCCUUUCAGGUACAAACUAAUUUUAUAUUUUUUUCAGAUACAUGCUAAUGAAUUAUCUAGCCUAUUUCCCAGAAAAGUAAUGUCCUUGUUAGUAUACUGUGGCAGCGACCAGAUGGAACCUCAUGUCGGCGAAGGAGGACGGUGCUGGUGGCGGGCGUGCUGCUUUCAUAUGGUAAGUGAAUGGUGGUUUUAUACAUGAUUAUACGGUGUUGCUAUUUCCAUACUGAACUAAGUUGCAUAUCACGCUUUUUUUCAGGGUUGCGUGGGAGAUGCAAUCACUCGUCUUGACUGUGCUGGUGCGUGUCCUGAAGAAAUGAUCGCAAAGACUCUAGAUAAAAAUUACACCGAGUCACACAGGUGUACGCGUAAAAGAAGAUAUUCGAAUGAAAGUCGGGAAAUCUCACAGCGUUCUGACAAUGGGAAUGGUGAGAAAAUGGUUCUAUCUUGCCUCUCAAGUAAAACGAACCUUUUCUUAAGGUGAAGCAGGUAAGACUUUUUUUUUUUUCACAGGUCAGAUUAAUUAUUUUUCUUGAAGGUCAAACUAAUCUCUUCUAAUUUCUCUUGCAGAUCAAACUAAUCUAUCUCUCGCAGAUCAAACUAAUCUAUUUCUCGCAGAUCAAACUAAUCUAUCUCUCUUGCAGAUCAAAGUAAUCUAUCUCUCUUGCAGGUCAAACUAAUCUACCUCUCUUGCAGAUCAAACUAAUCUAUCUCUCUUCCAGGUCAAACUAAUUAUUUUUCUUGAAGGUCAAACUAAGGUCAAACUAAUCUAUAUCUCUCUUGCAGGUCGAACUAGUCAAUCUCUCUUGCAGGUCAAACUAAUCUAUCUCUCUUGCAGGUCAAACUAAUCUAUCUCUCUUGCAGGUUGAACUAAUCUAUCUCUCUUGCAGGUUGAACUAAUCUAUCUCUCUUGCAGGUCGAACUAAUCUGUCUCUCUUGCAGGUCGAACUAAGAACUAAUCUAUCUCUCUUGCAGGUCGAACUAAUCUAUCUCUCUUGCAGGUCGAACUAAUCUAAUAUCUCUUGCAGGUCGAACUAAUCUAAUAUCUCUUGCAGGUCGAACUAAUCUAUCUCUCUUGCAGGUCGAACUAAUCUAUCUCUCUUGCAGGUCAAACUAAUCUAUAUCUCUUGCAGGUCAAACUAAUCUAUAUCUCUUGCAGGUCAAACUAAUCUAUAUCUCUUGCAGGUCAAACUAAUCUAUAUCUCUUGCAGGUCAAACUAAUGUACUUCUCUUGCAGGUCAAACUAAUGUACUUCUCUUGCAGAUCAAACUAAUGUACUUCUCUUGCAGAUCAAACUAAUGUACUUCUCUUGCAGAUCAAACUAAUCUGUCUUUCUUGCAGGUCAAACUAAUCUAUCUCUUGCAGGUCAAACUAAUCUAUCUUUCUUGCAGGUCAAACUAAUCUCUCUCUCUCUCUCUCUCUCUCUCUCUCUCUCUCUCUCAGGUCAAACUAAUCUAUCUCCCUGUCUUUCAGGCCAAACUAAUCUAUCUCCUCUUACAGGUAAAAUUGAUAUUUUUAUCACUACUCUUACUCUAAAGUUUCUUCCCUCUACUCAGGGUUAACCCUACUACCCAUGGCAUUACCAGGCAACAAUGAGCAGCUUGCCACUGUGAUACCCCCCCCUUGAGGGGUUAAUACUCACUUCGGUGAGGGGGACCUGGAGACACAAACACCUAUAUACAUAUAAAGACAGUCACUCGUUUUCUCUCUUCUACAUUUCUCACCCACACACAUACACAUAAAAAGACUCUCGUUCUCUAUCUUAUCUAUUUUUUUUCCUAUCUUACAUGCAAAUAAAAAGACUCUAGAGCGUUCUCUAUCUUCUCUUGUCUAUUUUUUUUCCUAUCUUUCUAUAUUAUCUUUCUACCUUCUUUCUAUAUUAUCUAUAUUAUCUAUCUUCUCUGUUAAUAUUCGGUCUCAUUAGUGUUCUUGAUUUAAUAUCCUGUUCUCUUAUUACAGUAAGAUCAGCAACGGUUAGCAAAGAUUCAGCUGGGGAAGAGCAAGAGAGCUGCAAACGGGAGAGGAAAGCAUAAUGAGGCUAGUGAAGCAGAUGGCGGAUGAAGAUUGUGUUCCACUUGCGUCCUAUGAACAUGUAAUGUUAAGUUUUGUCAUUAUUGUAAAUCAUACCGCUUAAAAAUAAAAUGUGUAGCUG